UUGGGAAAGUUUUACUCCCACACCAAACUUCUUCAUCAAGGAGUAUCAGUCAGUCAUGGUAAACUUUUUUGGCUUAACUCUAUCAGUGUCUCAAUGAUUUAUAUGAUAUCUUUUAAAGAACUUAGAUUCUUUUACAGAUGUGGUUAAAUGCUAUUUAUGCACCAGAUUUUCAAGAAGUCAAUGUUGCUCCUGGAAACCGUUAUAGUUAUAACCCUGUAUUUCUAACCAAACAUAUCAGACCUUCUGAUUUAUCUCUGCUUUUAAGAAAUAUUUUGAGUGAUUUGUCCCCUUUUGCUAGUCGAAGAAAAGGUCCUGCUUGGUUUACUCAUAAAAUUUCUGAUCAAAUACUUAGAAACUAGGUGGCGAAGUCAUUGAAGUGAACCAUAACAAAACUAGUUGUCGCAUGUAGAAACAAGUGCUUGUAACACGCCCUUUUCUAAAACAACACAACAACCUAAUCCAGAACUUCGGAUUAAAAAGAAAACAAGAAAUGGAAUGAAGAGAAGCUAUAGGAGGGAAUUUGUCACGUUGGUAUAAAAAUUAAGUAAUGAGCUUGUGGAGGAAAAGACUAUAUAAGUUACUCUCAAAUUUUACAGGAUAUUUAGUAG
RNAcentral lists this long non-coding RNA (608 nucleotides) under Medicago truncatula (barrel medic). RNAcentral describes it as "long non-coding RNA (MTRU_LNC004298)". Lineage: Eukaryota; Viridiplantae; Streptophyta; Magnoliopsida; Fabales; Fabaceae. The record is from RNAcentral.